Molecule: non-coding RNA, 96 nt
Organism: Brachypodium distachyon (stiff brome)
Lineage: Eukaryota; Viridiplantae; Streptophyta; Magnoliopsida; Poales; Poaceae
Source: Rfam
GGACAAUGAUGAAAAACACGAUCAAAACACACCAUCUUUCGGGACUGAUUGGCGCGCUCUGCGUUCCAUGCUGUCAGAUCUGCAAUUCUGAUGUCC